AUAAAACACAAACAGAAGUUGUUAUGUUAUUUUGACACAAAUACAUAUGAAUAAAUGACAUGUUGAUGU
Long non-coding RNA from Etheostoma spectabile (orangethroat darter), 69 nucleotides. RefSeq lists it as uncharacterized. The transcript has 3 exons. Lineage: Eukaryota; Metazoa; Chordata; Actinopteri; Perciformes; Percidae. The record is from RefSeq and is a predicted model, not a curated record.